AGAGAACAUGGCAGCAGUUGGGCUGGUGGCUUGCUCAUAGCCACAGAGGCCAACCCAUAAUCCUGGGUAUGUUAGUGAUGGUGGUGAGAUGAGGGGAGAGGCAAGUGCUUUGUACAUUGAGUACCUCACCUUCCAGCAUGGGAUCCAUAGCAGCUUUUGAACAUUGGUCCCUUUAGAAUCAAACACUGGCAAUGUAACUUUAAUCAUAGGGCUAUUUACUUUUUUUCCGCUACAAUCUUGCAAAUUUUCAAAAAGAUUAUGUGAAACUGCAGUUAACAAUCUGUAAAUUGUGUCUCUUCAGACUAAAUUGUUCUUUGCUGUUGAUGAAAGGCUGUAAAAGCAUUCUGGUUUUUAGUCCUUAGAUGAGUUAAAACUGAUGGUGACUCUAGCUAAACUGAAACAAACUGUCUUUAUCUCAUCUGACCUUUUUUAGGAGAUGUUUAUGUAUCUUUCUUACAUUAUUAGAGUACAUAGUUUAGUUGGAGGACAGGACAGGGGCAUUCUUGUUGCAUGUUGUUGAUUGAGAAAGAAGCAAGCAAGUGGCCUUAUCCUUAUGAUGCUUGGUGAAGCAAUUAGCAUUGUGGAAUCAAUGUUAUAAAAACCGGCUCCGCAUAACCUAUUGCAGGCAUCUAAAAAUCUAGAUUAGGUCUAACCCAGACACAGUUUCAAGUAAGGAGGGGGGUCAUAUAAUAUGAUAUUGUCACUCAUCCCUAUCAUUUCUUAUUACUGUUAUAAACAGGAAGAUUUCGAAUCUAAAAGUAAGACUUACUUGUUUGAACCUGGGAUUCUGGCCCAAACUAUACCCACCACAUUUCCACAGAGAAGGUUCAAGUCCCUGGAUGCCUAUGCCAAAUGGAUUCCCCCAUUCUCCCAAGAAUGCAAAUGAUGACAAAUUGACCAAAGCUUCUGGACUUUCCUCUCUAAAACAGGGUCAAUACCUGAGUUAAGACAGAGAAUUUCAAGUCUGUGAAUCUCAGCUUUGGUUCUGCUUCUUCUCUGCAGUUGAGAGAAUUUAUGAAGCCAAAAAAAGUACGAUGCCACCCCAUACAGAAUCAGAGCUGUAUUUAUUUUGCCCUUUGGUAUUCCAUUCAACAUUGAGAUUUGUAUUUCUCCAAAUCAGGGUGGGAAAAGAUUUUCUAAGGCACAGUGGGAGAGGUGCUGAUUGGUAAAGAGUUUGCGGAGGUGAAAGUAGAAAGAUUGACUUGUGAGCUGUCUCCAAGAGGAAUGAAUGCAAAACAUUUGAUUUCCCUGUUUGUUUUUUGUUGCAGAUACCUUGACUAUGAAUAAUAGUUUCAAUAAGGAAGACAGAAUGAGUUCUGACACGAUGGUUGGGAGCUGUGACAGGCAGACGAAAAAUGGAGCCAAAUGGCAUGGAGGUGUGUCAUCACUGCUGGAUUUUACCUUGAUCUACAUUCAGUUAUCUACUUCUUUUCAAAAUGCUGGGCAUUCAUUCAAGAAACAGCAUAUAUGUUCUGACUUUGAAGUAAUGGAUGAACUGUCAUGUGCAGUAUAUGGAAAUAAGUUUUAUUACCUUCUUCCCACAUUAACUCAUCCAUCCAUUCAAUAGCCAUUUAUUGAGAAGCUCACUCUGUGUUAGGCACAGUGGUGUCAUGAUGUUGGAACAGUAACAAUAACUCAACCAACCAGGGCUUGUCUGAAUACAAUCCUACAGCAGCAGGAGCUGUGGAGAUAUAGAAGGCAAGGAAGACCAGGUUGUGAGGGAAGACGAAUUUACUCCCAGGAAUGUUGGGAUUGAGAGUAAUAUUCUCCAAUAAUGGUGGAAGACAGAACAAUAAAAGCCCACCAGCUCCUUCUGCAUGGUGGGAUAAGAGAAAAGCCAAGGGCAGAAGUGAGAAAAAUAACCAUCACCAAACUGAAAAGAAAACCUUUAUAAAAAAACUGGAUUGAUAAAUGACCUUUAGUAGUGGAAAGAUACCAUUCCAAUGAAGCAUGAAUUGAAAGGAUUUCUUCUGAAAGCUAAUUUACAUUUUUCUUUUUUUUUUUUUCAUUUUCAGUGUGUUUUAGCAGGUGUAUUGUUCUACAUGGUUAGUUUCUUUACCUCUUUGAGAAAAAUGGGUCAGCUUGACACAUCUGGAUGAAAGAAUCCGUUAGGUGAUUAUGAUUGAAGACAGAUUAAGCCUUGUUAUGAGGGGAAUAUUUGGGGGCUUACCCUGAGGUGAUAUUUGAUGAUUUAGCUGUGGGAGAAUUUCCCUCCCAAGAUCAGCGUGACUGACACUGAAAUUGCUACAGGGGAACCGGACCUUUCCAAGAGGUGACAAGGACAUUUACCUGGUACAACACAAUGGUUCUGGACUGGAAGUCUAGUCCCAUUGAUGAAGUUCCCAAAAGAUGUCCAGGUCCUAAUCCCUGGAAUCUGUGAAUAUGUCAUCUUACACAUCAAAAGAACUUUGAAAAUGUGAUUGAGGUUAAGGACCUUGGAAUGAGGAGAUUACCUUGGAUUAUCUGGUUGGGUCCAAGCUAAUCACAUGAGUCCUUAAAGGAGAAGAACCUUUUUUAGCUGGGUCAGAGAGAGAUGUGAUGAUGAAAACAGGCUCAGGGAGAUGCACUGUAAGAAGGGCUUGACCAGUUGUUUUUGACUUUGAAGAUGGAGGGAAGGGCCAGGAGCCAAGGAAGGUGGGUGGCUUUUGGAAGGUGGAAAAAGCAAGGGAACAUUCUCUCCAGAGCCUCCAGAAAGGAGCUCAGCCCUGUUGACAUCUUUGUUUUUAUUUUUUAUUUUUAGUAGCAUUGAGGUCUCACUAUGUUGCACAGGCUGGUCUUGAACUCUUGAGCUCAAGCACUCCUCCCGCCUUGGCUUCCCAAAGUGCUGGGAUUAUAGGCAUGUGCCACCACAUCUGGCUUCCUACUGACAUCUUAACUUUAGUGCAGUGAGACUCAUAUUUGAAUUUCUGACCUUAUAUUAUAGAACCAUAAGACAUUAUAGAAUUAUAUAGAAUUAUAGAACCAUAAGACAAUAACUUUGUGUUGUUUUAAGAUACUAAAUUUUUGGUAAUUUGUUAUGGCAGCACAAUAAAACCAAUAUAGCAUUAUAUUAUGCCAAUAUCAUCUCUUUGUUGACUAUUGCUAUUAUAGUUUGUUUUAUGGGU
This 3104-nucleotide long non-coding RNA is filed under the name Homo sapiens (human). Its description in RNAcentral is "HSALNT0313202". Lineage: Eukaryota; Metazoa; Chordata; Mammalia; Primates; Hominidae. The record is from RNAcentral.